Long non-coding RNA from Mastomys coucha (southern multimammate mouse), 645 nucleotides. RefSeq lists it as uncharacterized. Lineage: Eukaryota; Metazoa; Chordata; Mammalia; Rodentia; Muridae. The record is from RefSeq and is a predicted model, not a curated record. The transcript has 3 exons.
CCUAGUAACAGCAAAAACAUAGGAGAAAGUUUCCUUAUAAUGGCAUGCUAUCAAAGUAAUUGUUAUCUAGGGCUGAACAAUCCAUUUAGGACUUAAUAGUUUAAUUAGGUCCUAACAAGCUCAUCCCUUCAUCUGAGGAAGUAAAACUGGCAUCUACACUGUACUCUAAGCUGUCUCCUUCUGCUACCAGGGAAAAUGUGGGAACAAGAAACUUGUCAUUUCCUGUGAAGAAGUUCAUACAGUGAAAAGCAGAACUUUUGACAACAGACAGGAAUAUCUGCUCAUAAGUAUUGUUUACACCCAUGAAGGAGGACAGUGUCUGCAGCUACGGAUCCACCAGAGACAACGCAGUCUCCUGGGGCCCUGCAGACAACAAGAGCAGCCUUCCUCCAGAUAACUCAUCUGACUGAAGACUCCCUAGACACACGCUGAACCCCACAGAGGACAGACAACAGAGCUGGGCCUUCCAGCUACAGAUGAAAUCUCUUGCCAAAGCUAAAUGGCUGCUUAACUUGAGAGAAGUUAUGUGAUAGUAAGGAAAACAUAAUGUAUAUCUAGAAUUAAUUAACUGCUGUUCAAAACUGAUGUUUCUACCCUCAAACUGUAUUAUCCCUGGAACAAUUGAUUCUAUAAUCUCUUGCCUUG